Long non-coding RNA from Hyla sarda, 1259 nucleotides. RefSeq lists it as uncharacterized. The record is from RefSeq and is a predicted model, not a curated record. NCBI's taxonomy places the organism in Eukaryota, Metazoa, Chordata, Amphibia, Anura, Hylidae. The transcript has 3 exons.
CCCACCAACAGUCUGCACUAAUUGACUGCUACUGCCGCCAUCUCCAGGAACCCCUGUUCCACUACCUCCCAGGAAGAUAGGCUGACACAAAGCAUGUGGUCUCCCCCGGGCACGUUUGGCUCCAGAAUUUAAACCUAUGCCACCACGCUGACUCCAACCAUGCUACCACCUUGCUGGCUCAACUGCUGCCUCACGGGAAACCUGCAAUUCUCUUCUCCUGAUGAUGAUGAAGCCCCUUCUGCACCCGGCUUCCAAUUGCGAUCGGCUUCAUCAUCAUCAUCAACAAGUGUCUGCAUGUCACUGAUGUCCUCCUCAGGUUACUCAACAGGUAUCUGCUUCAGGACCCUUAACCCUCAUCACUACUUGCCUGCCUAGUGGAGGAAACGGCGGUUGUCUCCUCCAAUUGUUGGCUGGGCAGUAGCUGCUGACUGUUCUCUAUUGAAUAUUGGAGCUGAACCCACAGUGUAAGAUACUUCUGUAGGGGAAGGAAAAGCAUAGGACAGAGGCAAUGGGAGGACAGGGACUGCUCCCGGGCCAUGCCAACUGAGGGUUGUGUCUGAGGAAACCACCGACUGUUGACUGGGGGUAUCAGAUGUCACUUGUGAUGAAGUGGAUGACCGUGUUAACCAAUCGAUGAUGGCAGAUGGGUUUCUGGUGGAGACACAACCGCUAGCUGAUACCAAGAGCUCGGGCCUCUUGCUGCGACUCCUGCUGCCACUCGCCCCUAGUCUGCUGCUACCUCUGCCUGACGAAUUUAGGCCUCUACCACUCCUCUGUGCAUGUCCUGGCACUUCUCUGCCUGACAUGCGCGAAUAUGAGGGGAGUACAAUAUGCCUCACUUCGCUUAAAACAGUAUUUAUCUAGAACAUAAAUUAUAUCUGGAUAUCAAGAGCGCUGGAAUGGAUUGAAUGGAGUACACAUCUCUAGCUGCAGCAAAACCAAAUCAGCACACAUCCCCGUUGAGCCUGCCUGGUGUGUGUAGCCCGCCGAUGUGGUCAACCAUCUGAAGAAGACAUAAGUAACACCCUUACACCGUGGCAAAUUUUUCCUCUCAUGUGACAGUAUGUAUUGCUGGUAAUGGACUAUGACGUUGUCACUGACCUACAUCCUGGAGUACAGUCUUGUCAAGCAAGUCUCUUUCCAACGCUGUCAUGCAACAAACAAUUAAUAAUGAACAAGUUAUGAAAUCCCAUUGAUCAUCAAGACAAUACAGUAAGUGGGAAUGAAACUUGGACAUAUGAUACAUUUUUUAAUAAAAC